AUCGCUUCUCGGCCUUUUGGCUAAGAUCAAGUGAAGACAUGGCAUCACGGUUCAAGGCAUCCUUUAUUAAAGUCUUAUAAUUAUCCAUAUAUUGUCCUAGCUUCCUUGUUAGAUUUAUCUUUAGAUGUUUAUAAUUUUGAUACUAUUAUAAUUGAUGUCUACUUCAA
This is a small nuclear RNA of Heterocephalus glaber (naked mole-rat), 167 nucleotides long. Its record names the gene U2. It matches the Rfam family "U2 spliceosomal RNA". Rfam says of the family: U2 is a small nuclear RNA (snRNA) component of the spliceosome (involved in pre-mRNA splicing). Complementary binding between U2 snRNA (in an area lying towards the 5' end but 3' to hairpin I) and the branchpoint sequence (BPS) of the intron results the bulging out of an unpaired adenosine, on the BPS, which initiates a nucleophilic attack at the intronic 5' splice site, thus starting the first of two transesterification reactions that mediate splicing. Lineage: Eukaryota; Metazoa; Chordata; Mammalia; Rodentia; Bathyergidae. The record is from Ensembl.